Molecule: ribosomal RNA, 422 nt
Filed under: uncultured bacterium
Lineage: Bacteria
Description: bacterial SSU rRNA
Rfam family: Bacterial small subunit ribosomal RNA
Source: RNAcentral
UGAGGAAUAUUGGGCAAUGCCCGCAAGGGUGACCCAGCAACGCCGCGUGGAGGAUGAAUGUCGUAAGAUUGUAAACUCCUGUUAGAGGGGAAGAAUAGUACCGGUUGGACCGGUAUAUGACUGUACCCUCAGAGAAAGCCCCGGCUAACUACGUGCCAGCAGCCGCGGUAAUACGUAGGGGGCAAGCGUUGUCCGGAUUUACUGGGUGUAAAGGGCGCGCAGGCGGGAUAAAAAGUCAGUGGUGAAAUCCUACAGCUUAACUGUAGAACUGCCUUUGAUACUUUUAUUCUUGAGUUCGGGAGAGAGACACGGAAUGCCAGGUGUAGUGGUGAAAUACGUAGAUAUCUGGAAGAACACCAGUUGCGAAGGCGGUCUCUUGGUCCGACACUGACGCUGAGGCGCGAAAGCGUGGGGAGCAAACA